Molecule: ribosomal RNA, 212 nt
Filed under: uncultured Holophagae bacterium
Lineage: Bacteria; Pseudomonadati; Acidobacteriota; Holophagae
Description: partial 16S ribosomal RNA
Rfam family: Bacterial small subunit ribosomal RNA
Source: RNAcentral
UGGGAUGACGUCAAGUCAGCAUGGCCUUUAUGUCCAGGGCUACACACGCGCUACAAUGGUUGGUACAAAGGGUUGCCAAGCCGUGAGGCGGAGCCAAUCUCAAAAAGCCAACCUCAGUUCGGAUUGCAGUCUGCAACUCGACUGCAUGAAGUUGGAAUCGCUAGUAAUCGCUGAUCAGCAGGCAGGCGGUGAAUUACCGGUUCCCGGGUCUU